GCUCUCGUAGCUCAGGGGAUCGGGCAUCGGUUUCCUGAACCGUGUGUGGCAGGUUCGAAUCCUGCCGAGGGCA
Molecule: transfer RNA, 73 nt
Filed under: Actinomycetota bacterium
Lineage: Bacteria; Bacillati; Actinomycetota
Description: tRNA-Arg
Rfam family: tRNA
About the family: Transfer RNA (tRNA) molecules are approximately 80 nucleotides in length. Their secondary structure includes four short double-helical elements and three loops (D, anti-codon, and T loops).
Source: RNAcentral